AGACCCGCCACCAGGAGGGAACCUGUUGCGGCUGCGUCAAACCACAACACACUGCUUCUCGUCUCAUCUCUUCUACUGUCUAUGCAGAAUCACCGGCGGAACAGCAGAGGACAGGAGAAGAGGGCAGAGAGGAGGAAGAGAGCCGACGCUUUGCUUCAGCUCAUUAACCAACGCCUGUUAGCUUGGAAAUAAAUUGGCUGAAGAGGGCAGCAGAGCAAAGAGACAUCGUCAGUGCUAGCACAAAAUCCAACG
This is a long non-coding RNA of Xiphophorus couchianus (Monterrey platyfish), 252 nucleotides long. RefSeq lists it as uncharacterized. NCBI's taxonomy places the organism in Eukaryota, Metazoa, Chordata, Actinopteri, Cyprinodontiformes, Poeciliidae. The record is from RefSeq and is a predicted model, not a curated record. The transcript is spliced from 3 exons.